Molecule: long non-coding RNA, 548 nt
Organism: Lycium ferocissimum
Lineage: Eukaryota; Viridiplantae; Streptophyta; Magnoliopsida; Solanales; Solanaceae
Exons: 2
Source: RefSeq, a predicted model, not a curated record
UCCUCAUCCCAUUAAAACUUUUCUUCCUAAAAUAUCUCAACCAGUGUUGCCCCUUUAACCCCCACUCCCUCACAUCCUCCUCUCACGUAACACACACGACACGCACACACGACACAGUCCACACAAAAUAUAAAUACACACACAACACAGAUACGUAGAAGAUAGAACAGAAAAACACAACGUAGACAAAAAACAAAAACACAGAGAGAGCGCCAAAAAAAAAAAAAGAGUAAACGGAGAGAAAAAAAAUACCUAGAGCAAUUUAGGAGUUCCAAAAAGGUUUUAUCCGAGUUCAAGGUUUUUAUUUGCGGUUUCGAGUUCAUGAACCUAAAAGUUAGCUUUUGUUAACUUGGAAAUUAGUAGAUUGUAGCCAUUUUCUUGUUGCAAAUUAAUCUAAGCAAAGGUAACACACAAUUUUCUUGUAUAGUUUAAUGCCACAAUUAUGUGAGAUCUGAUUCCAAUGUUAUGAAUUUGUUAAGAUUUCGUAUGUCUCUAAUUAGUUAAUUGUUCUUUGACGUUAUAAUAUGAAGUAUGUUUAGAUUUUUGUA